UCUUCAAAUAAUACAGUCGCCGCAUUGUCCUUUACCAUUUACUGUCUUCGUUCUCUCAACCUACAGUGCCGAUGCCUACAUUGCCUCUUUGUUCACGGCGCAUCCUUCGUUUUUCUUCCCUCUCUACUUUUCCGCUUUUGCUAGGUUCUCUCCCAGUUUGAUACAUGUAUCGUGUCUCUGAUGUCAGGUGACUGCAGUUGUC
Molecule: non-coding RNA, 202 nt
Organism: Caenorhabditis elegans
Lineage: Eukaryota; Metazoa; Nematoda; Chromadorea; Rhabditida; Rhabditidae
Source: Ensembl